CACAGCCAAUAUUUCUCUCUUAGCUAACAGAUCAAGCUGACCUGACUGUGAAUUGUGGCCCCUUCUACUUAAUAAGAAUGGACAACAGCUACGACAAAUCUGAACAAGCCAUAGUGCAUAAAACAGAUCCAGAUGCCGUGAAGAUAAAAUACCUCCUGUGUAAGGAACAGGCCAGAAUCAGGAUCUGUGAAGGUUGUUCUUAAAAUAAUCCCAACAUCUUACUUCUCUGUCAGAACUUUGGUGCUGAUCUUUUAGAGCUACUCUUUAAGAUCUUCAUAGAGAUGCCUCUACAAUCGGUGCCGUUUUGUAUGACUCCAAAUAUCCAUCUAUUCACUGUACGAAGGAAAAGUCAACUCUGUACAUUUUUACAGACUUAGCAUGCCUGUAAAAUCCAUCAUUGGCAACUUUCUCUAACCUCCACCCCACCCCAAUAAGUUUUCGCACAUUAUUUGGGGCAAAUGAAAACCAUUUACCUUUUUUUUUCUAGAGAAGAUUUACUGAGAUGUCUCUCGUCUGUUUUGCAGAUGUGCCUUGGUGAACUUAACAGUAAUGCAGACUGUCAUCAGGGCUGUCUUCAGAUCUUCGAAAUCGUUUUUUGCAUUGCACAGUACAUAUUUUAUUGGAUGUUUGCUCGAUCGGAAUAUAUAUCUAGCAUUUGUGUGUGGGCACAUAUGUGCCUGCCAUUGUAAACACUUUUGGUGCAAGCUGCUUAGUAAUAUCAAGGUUUUUGUAUUUCUAAGCAUAUAUUUACAGAUAUCUAAGGAUUUCCAGAACAAUUAGAAUAAAAGAAGAACUGUAGCUUAAUAAGUCUUCUGCCUUUUAAAUUACUUACAUCUUUCUUUUAUAGAAUAAAAUACCAGUUUGUAUUCAGUCAA
This is a long non-coding RNA of Crotalus tigris (Tiger rattlesnake), 875 nucleotides long. RefSeq lists it as uncharacterized. The record is from RefSeq and is a predicted model, not a curated record. Lineage: Eukaryota; Metazoa; Chordata; Lepidosauria; Squamata; Viperidae. The transcript is spliced from 4 exons.